CUAGCAAUAGGUAUGCUUAGGGAAGAGCUUGCGUCACAUUAGUUAGUUGGUGGGGUAAUGGCCUACCAAGACGAUGAUGUGUAGCCGGGCUGAGAGGUCGAACGGCCACAUUGGGACUGAGACACGGCCCAAACUCCUACGGGAGGCAGCAGUAAGGAAUUUUCGGCAAUGGAGGAAACUCUGACCGAGCAAUGCCGCGUGAACGAUGAAGUAUUUCGGUACGUAAAGUUCUUUUAUUAGGGAAGAAAAGAUGGUGGAAAAACCAUUAUGACGGUACCUAAUGAAUAAGCCCCGGCUAACUAUGUGCCAGCAGCCGCGGUAAUACAUAGGGGGCAAGCGUUAUCCGGAAUUAUUGGGCGUAAAGGGUGCGUAGGCGGUUAAAUAAGUUUAUGGUCUAAGUGCAACGCUCAACGUUGUGAUGCUAUAAAAACUGUUUAGCUAGAGUUGGAUAGAGGCAAGUGGAAUUCCGUGUGUAGUGGUAAAAUGCGUAAAUAUACGGAGGAACACCAGAAGCGAAGGCGGCUUGCUGGGUCUUAACUGACGCUGAGGCACGAAAGCGUGGGGAGCAAACAGGAUUAGAUACCCUGGUAGUCCACGCCCUAAACGAUGAGUACUAAACGUUGGAUAAAACCAGUGUUGAAGUUAACACAUUAAGUACUCCGCCUGAGUAGUACGUACGCAAGUAUGAAACUUAAAGGAAUUGACGGGACUCCGCACAAGCGGUGGAUCAUGUUGUUUAAUUCGAAGGUACCCGAAAAACCUCACCAGGUCUUGACAUGCUUUUGCAAAGCUGUAGAAAUACAGUGGAGGUUAUCAGAAGCACAGGUGGUGCAUGGUUGUCGUCAGCUCGUGUCGUGAGAUGUUGGGUUAAGUCCCGCAACGAGCGCAACCCUUGUUGUUAAUUGCCAUCAUUAAGUUGGGGACUUUAGCAAGACUGCCAAUGAUAAAUUGGAGGAAGGUGGGGACGACGUCAAAUCAUCAUGCCCCUUAUGACCUGGGCUACAAACGUGAUACAAUGGCUGUUACAAAGGGUAGCUAAAGCGUAAGCUUCUGGCGAAUCUCAAAAAAGCAGUCUCAGUUCGGAUUGAAGUCUGCAACUCGACUUCAUGAAGUUGGAAUCGCUAGUAAUCGCGAAUCAGCAUGUCGCGGUGAAUACGUUCU
RNAcentral lists this ribosomal RNA (1161 nucleotides) under Candidatus Phytoplasma solani. RNAcentral's name for it is "bacterial SSU rRNA". It matches the Rfam family "Bacterial small subunit ribosomal RNA", at positions 202 to 1374 of the family's 1533-position model. Lineage: Bacteria; Bacillati; Mycoplasmatota; Mollicutes; Acholeplasmatales; Acholeplasmataceae. The record is from RNAcentral.